Molecule: long non-coding RNA, 1030 nt
Filed under: Gallus gallus (chicken)
Lineage: Eukaryota; Metazoa; Chordata; Aves; Galliformes; Phasianidae
Description: lncRNA (ENSGALG00010022939.1)
Source: RNAcentral
CGUCGUCAUAUAGAUAUAAUAUAUUUCACUCUCACCACAUAAAUACAAAACAUCCAAAUAUCCAAAACAUUCAGAACAAAAGUUAGUAGCAAGGGCUCAGCGCUCGGUUCGUUCCGUAUUUCCCGACUAGUUGCCUAGAGACUCCCGACGUCAAUAAUUUACAAUAAAAUUACUAUUUUCUUUCUGUCCAGCUCCUUCUGUCCACUUCUGGUCUAUUAUUAAUUCUAUGCACUACAGAAACCGUUCCACUCGUUGUCAGUCUGUUUGUUUUUUUUUUGGUUACAGUUUGGUGGCACGCAUUUAUACAGUUUGUAAACGCCAUGUGUUAAAGUUUAGAGAAAGAAACUUCAAACCGAAGCAAAGAAAUAUUAUUAUUAUUAUUAUUAUUAUUAUUUCCCGAAGAAGGAAGUAAAUACAGAAUCCCUUUUCUGGCAAAUUCAAGUACUGAAAUCGAACGGGAGAUCGAUGCGGGACGUGGCCGGUGGGUACACGCGGUGGUGGAGAAAACAGCAGCGGGAAGCGGUGGGGAUAAGGCCGUUACAGAGAUGGGUCUUAAGGUACAAAAAUAACAACGAAAGAUGCGCUUUGUAUAUUUUACGUUCGUUUUAAUUGGAGUGUGAGCGAUAUCCGAGAGGGUUAUUUAGGAGGAAGAAGGCUGACGGCUUUGUGAUGCGCACUGAAAUUGCGUGAGAAAAGAAAAAAAAAUCAAAUCAAACGGAAGGAAAAAAAAACGGAUCUGGGUGCAAAUCGAGUCACGAUUCCGUUCUCUCUCUGCGGACUCGUUUAGCAGAGCGGGGCGGAAGGCAAAAAGGGCGUUGCUGCAACCCGGGGGCUGAGCGUGGCUCGGGCACGGCGCGGUGCUGCGUCCCGCCGGGCUCGGAGCGCUCCGUCCGCAGCGGGGAUCGGCCGUGGAGCAGAACGGCCGCCGGGAAGGGCCCGGCUGCGGCCAGGGCCGGGCAGCGGGGCCGUGAGGGGGUGUGUAAAGCCAAACCUUUGUGCUUAAGUCACUGGAGUCCGGGGAGGGGGGGAG